AUUAACUUUUCUUUAAAGAAAUGCAAUUAAAUAGUGUAUAUUUAAUUUAAAAAGUUGUGUUUUAGAUUGUUCAUCAUACAUACAUUUACCUAUAGAUGAUAAGUUUCUUUUAUUCCACUCAUUCAUCAACUUUUUUAUGAUCUCUCAUAGAAUGAAUUUCGAUGAUCUUGUGGAAGAAAUGGAUUCCGAAGUGAAAUACUCACAACCGUUGAGCCCCCAUAGAUUUUGUAUUGAACAUCUGAUGAUCUUCAUUUUGCAUUUUUUAAUAAUAUGUUUUUUACAGAUAAAGUGUUUAAAAAAUAUUUUAUAAUAUCGUUUGCGCUCUUUCAGGAGAACCUUCAAAAAUUGUGGUACCGUCAUCAUGGUCUGUCGGUCACGCAGAUAUAAUCCAGAAGCUGGAUGCCGUUGAGACCCGUCUCACUGCCAUUGAAAAGGCCCCAAAAGAUAAAGCCAAAAAGCCGAGAUGCAGGCACAAAGUAAAUUAUUGCGCAUCACCGGUGACUUGGAGGACGAGCAUUAUAUGGAGCUCGCUUCGAAACUGUCCAAGUCAUCGGAAGAGCACGUGCGCUUCGUGGAAGACAAACACGGAUGCUAUCUAUGAUAACUAUUUCGCUUUUAAAUAUAGUGCGAUUGUAUUAUAAUUUACUGUCAUUUAUUUCUUUAUAACAGAUGCGGCUAAAAUUGAAGGCAAAGGGCACAAAAGGUAUUGAUGGCGUACUGCGUGGUAUGUUUUCAGACGAUAUAAUGUACCAUUAAAAUUUAGAGGUGCGGAGAGAGAAGGAAUCUUUACUAAAGCUACAGUGCGUAAGGUUAGUUUUUGAUAUAUUUCCUGACAAUGACAAAAUCUGUGGAGAGCUCCGGAGAUUUGUGGCCUUAAACCAUAAUCGUUUUAGGCAAAAACAAAAAAAAACAUAA
Long non-coding RNA from Bactrocera neohumeralis, 915 nucleotides. RefSeq lists it as uncharacterized. The transcript is spliced from 4 exons. Lineage: Eukaryota; Metazoa; Arthropoda; Insecta; Diptera; Tephritidae. The record is from RefSeq and is a predicted model, not a curated record.